GAUGAACGCUGGCGGCGUGCCUAAUACAUGCAAGUAGAACGCUGAAGGAGGAGCUUGCUCUUCUGGAUGAGUUGCGAACGGGUGAGUAACGCGUAGGUAACCUGCCUGGUAGCGGGGGAUAACUAUUGGAAACGAUAGCUAAUACCGCAUAACAGUAGAUACUGCAUGAUAUCUGCUUGAAAGGGGCAAUUGCUCCACUACCAGAUGGACCUGCGUUGUAUUAGCUAGUUGGUGAGAUAACGGCUCACCAAGGCGACGAUACAUAGCCGACCUGAGAGGGUGAUCGGCCACACUGGGACUGAGACACGGCCCAGACUCCUACGGGAGGCAGCAGUAGGGAAUCUUCGGCAAUGGACGGAAGUCUGACCGAGCAACGCCGCGUGAGUGAAGAAGGUUUUCGGAUCGUAAAGCUCUGUUGUAAGAGAAGAACGAGUGUGAGAGUGGAAAGUUCACACUGUGACGGAACUACCAGAAAG
This 476-nucleotide ribosomal RNA is filed under the name Streptococcus australis. Its description in RNAcentral is "bacterial SSU rRNA". It matches the Rfam family "Bacterial small subunit ribosomal RNA", at positions 28 to 490 of the family's 1533-position model. The record is from RNAcentral. Lineage: Bacteria; Bacillati; Bacillota; Bacilli; Lactobacillales; Streptococcaceae.